AUUUAGUGUUGGUUUUGAGGUGGGGUUAAAGUUAUUGUAUUCCAUCAAAAUGAGUGAAUCAAAACCAGAAGCCCCAGUUAACAACCCUCCUCCUUCUUAUUCAAGAAAUUUUCCUGAUUUCAAACAAUCUGUGAAGCUGAAGUAUGUAAAACUUGGUUAUCAUUACCUUAUUACUCAUGGAAUGUACCUAUUUUUAUCCCCUCUAGUUAUUGUCCUUGCUGCUCAAAUCUCUACGUUUUCGCUGAGUGACCUAUAUGUUCUUUGGGAGCAGCUUAGGUUCAAUCUCAUAUCUGUCAUCAUAUGCUCUACCCUUUUGGUCUUCCUUUCAACCCUCUAUUUCCUAACCCGUCCUCGCCCUGUAUACCUUGUUAAUUUCUCGUGCUAUAAGCCUGAAGAUGCUAGGAUAUGCACAAGGAAG
Molecule: unclassified non-coding RNA, 418 nt
Filed under: Hevea brasiliensis (rubber tree)
Lineage: Eukaryota; Viridiplantae; Streptophyta; Magnoliopsida; Malpighiales; Euphorbiaceae
Source: RNAcentral